Molecule: transfer RNA, 235 nt
Filed under: Marmota monax (woodchuck)
Lineage: Eukaryota; Metazoa; Chordata; Mammalia; Rodentia; Sciuridae
Description: tRNA.Ala
Source: RNAcentral
GGGGUUGUAGCUCAGUGGUAGAGCACUCACCUAGCAUAUGCGAGGCCCUCAGCACCACAUAUAAAUAAAUAAAUAAAAUAAAGGUAUUCUGUCAACUACAACUAAUAUAUAUAUAUAUAUAAAGAAAACAAUUUGUUUAAAAAAAUUUUGUAAAAUGUGGGGCUGGGAUUGUGGCUCAGCAGUAGAAUGCUCGCCUAGCAUGUGCGAGGCCCUGGGUUCAAUCCUCAGCACUACA